GAUCCAUGUGUCUACAUACAUAGAUUCUGUUCAUGGAUUAACGAAAAUGAGCUCUAUUUGCCUCUGUCAUGCUAUGAGUCGCUUCCUUUUUGCGUAUGGCACCCCCACUCCCUUUAGCAGCAUCUACUAAUUUGGAACUUAAUUUGGAAGCCAUAUUUCGACCCGGACGCUUUUGGGAUGCUUCUAAUAACCAACGAAUGGCAAGUGCUUCCUUGUUUAGAUCCUAUUUCAAUCGGAACUUUCCGCGUCGAUCCUUUUUUAUUACGUCUUGUUUUUACUCCUAUAUUGGGAGUUACUCUACAUAUUGCUUGA
Molecule: ribosomal RNA, 312 nt
Filed under: Triticum aestivum (bread wheat)
Lineage: Eukaryota; Viridiplantae; Streptophyta; Magnoliopsida; Poales; Poaceae
Description: partial small subunit ribosomal RNA
Source: RNAcentral